Molecule: long non-coding RNA, 2076 nt
Filed under: Callithrix jacchus (white-tufted-ear marmoset)
Lineage: Eukaryota; Metazoa; Chordata; Mammalia; Primates; Cebidae
Description: lncRNA (ENSCJAG00000077275.1)
Source: RNAcentral
AUGAAUUGGUUUAUUUCUAGAUCUCUGUUUUGUUCUCUGCUCUCUGCUCUCUCUCUCUCUUUCUCUCCUGCCUUUCCCUCUCUUUUUUGCCUUUGUAGCUCCCUGCCAGUGCAGCUGUCCCAGACCGCCUUUGAUGCUACUCUGUUGUCUUUGGCACCAGCUCACAGGCUCUGCUGGGCUGAAGCUGGAACUCUUCCAUCUCAUCUUCUUUCUUUUGUCCUGCAAUACGGUUAUCCUGGAGGCCACUCAGCUGCCUCCCAACAUUAGAGGUAGGUGACAAGAAGAGGGAAUAGACUCUCUGAAGCUAGAGGAAAGCGGCUGAACAUCUUAUAAUAGUGAACACCUUUGUUGUUGCUAAAACUCUUUUCCAAACACAUGUAUGGGGUAUUUUGAAAUGAAUUUUGGCAUCUCUCAUAUUUCCCUCAGCAAGCUGUGGUAUCUGGCGGUGUUUUUCAAGAAAGUACUUACCUUUGAUAAUCAGACUGAGUUGAAAUUAUCCUGAUUUCAUUGUACUACAGACGUGAGCAACACAUUUUCUAAAUUCCAUGGGGUGAACCAAAUAUUUUCAACUGCACAAUAAUGUUGAGCUGAAUAAAAGGGUUUGAAAAACCUGAAAUAAUGCAUUUCUUUGGAAUAAUUCAACACUGCUUUAAGCCUACUUUCUCCUUUCAAGAACUCAUUUCCUAUUUAGAGCUAAAUAAAAGUAUAUAUUAACUCUGAACCUUGGAUAAAUUCUUUGGAAAAAAAAAAAGAAUUGACUCUGAUCUUAGGGUCGACAGUGCAGAUCAAAGAGCAUGGAUUUAUUUUGGCCGAUAACAUCCUAACACUGAUUCAAAAUUGGUUAAGAUGACUUGGAGGAAUAGAAGUGUUAAAAUUAUAUACUGUUCCAGUUCUACAUUAUAGUAAGACGUUCCUGUGGAGAAAAAUCUAAUUUUAAGCUUACCAUGAUUUUCCUGCAUAAACAUGAGGAGUUACGAGCUCAAAGCUUUUCUUUAGAACACUGCUUGUACAAAAGAUCUUUAUCUGGUUCAUUCUUGUUUGGUGUUAUACUGUGCAGAAAACCAUGUGCCACACUUAGUCCGUUUGCUUAUCCCACUAUGCAGCCACCUGCAGACUGAUUAUUUCCUUUUAAAGCAGGAGUAAAAUCUCCACUUCCCUCCCUCCUGUAGGCAGCCUCAGCAUAAAAGCAGCUCAUACAAUGAUGCUUUGUGAGAACAGAUCCCAUUAACAACAGCAACAACAACUUAGAUUUAUACAGCGCUUUAUCACACGUACAGCCAGGCAACGCCAGGCAUUUUCUAAAACGGAAAUCAUUUCCCUUUAGGCCUCUAAAAAAAUCCUUAUUAAACAACAACAACAAUGCCAAAGACUGACUUGAACAUAAGCAUGAAGAGGAGGAAAGUGUGUUUUCUUCCUAAAUGAAGGUAGACUUCAAGUCAACUUGUUCGCUGCAUUGUUUUGUCAACAGGUAACACUGGUAUUCAGUAACCUAAUGAGAAAGACACUGUUAUUUGAAAGAGAGCUUAAUCCAAGUGCUUUGCUCAGAGGAGCAUUUACUUAGCAAGAUUUUGAAGAAGUUUGAUUUAUUGCUGUAAUGUGCUAUAUAAUACGUUUUUCUAUAUCAGGUUUAGGGUAGGAUGCUGAUUUUUUUUUUUUUUACCUAUGCUGUGAAGAAUUUGGCCGGUUGAUAAUUAGUCAUAAAAUAAUUGUAAAGACUUUUCUUUUGUAAUGGUAGCUAGGGCUGUUGCUGUAGCUGGCAAAAUCGAUCCAUGAAUGUUAAAGCCUUUAAGUCACAUAGUAUAUCCCUCAGUUUAUAAUGUUAGAAAAUAGUAAAUGUUUUCACAGUACAAAUGUAACAAUAUUAUCAUACUUAUCUUUUUAUGUUUUGCUUCUAACUGGUAGUAGUAUCAUCAAUUGUAUUAUACCCUCAAUAUCUACUGUAACUGUAUUUCUAUGAAAAAAUUUUUCUGUAGCAGUAUCCUCUGGUAGAAGAGAAUGGCAUUUGAAAUAAGACAUACCUGGUUUGAAUUAUUUGGCUUACUUACUUCUGAAUUGUCUGACCUUGAAAAUUGAGUA